UACGUAGGGGGCUAGCGUUGUCCGGAUUUAUUGGGAGUAAAGAGCGUGUAGGCGGCCAGGUAGGUCUGCUGUGAAAACUCGAGGCUCAACCUCGAGACGUCGGCGGAAACCAUCUGGCUAGAGUCCGGAAGAGGAGAGUGGAAUUCCUGGUGUAGCGGUGAAAUGCGCAGAUAUCAGGAAGAACACCCGUGGCGAAGGCGGCUCUCUGGGACGGUACUGACGCUGAGACGCGAAAGCGUGGGGAGCGAACAGG
This 253-nucleotide ribosomal RNA is filed under the name uncultured bacterium. Its description in RNAcentral is "partial 16S ribosomal RNA". It matches the Rfam family "Bacterial small subunit ribosomal RNA", at positions 524 to 776 of the family's 1533-position model. The record is from RNAcentral.